CUACGGGGCGCUGCAGUGGGAAUUUUGCGCAAUGGGGGAAACCCUGACGCAGCAACGCCGCGUGAAGGAUGAAGGCCUUUGGGUCGUAAACUUCUGUCAGAGGGGAAGAAAUGCCCGAAAGGGAGCUGACGGUACCCUCAAAGGAAGCACCGGCUAACUCCGUGCCAGCAGCCGCGGUAAUACGGAGGGUGCAAGCGUUGUUCGGAAUUAUUGGGCGUAAAGAGCAUGUAGGCGGCCUGUUAAGUCUGGUGUGAAAGCCCGGGGCUCAACCCCGGAAGUGCAUUGGAUACUGGCAGACUUGAGUAUGGGAGAGGAAAGUGGAAUUCCGAGUGUAGGAGUGAAAUCCGUAGAUAUGCGGAGGAACACCAGUGGCGAAGGCGGCUUUCUGGACCAAUACUGACGCUGAGAUGCGAAAGCGUGGGGAGCAAACAGGAUUAGAUACCCCCGUAGUC
Molecule: ribosomal RNA, 452 nt
Filed under: uncultured bacterium
Lineage: Bacteria
Description: partial 16S ribosomal RNA
Rfam family: Bacterial small subunit ribosomal RNA
Source: RNAcentral